This 253-nucleotide ribosomal RNA is filed under the name uncultured bacterium. RNAcentral's name for it is "partial 16S ribosomal RNA". It matches the Rfam family "Bacterial small subunit ribosomal RNA", at positions 524 to 776 of the family's 1533-position model. The record is from RNAcentral.
UACGAAGGGGGCUAGCGUUGCUCGGAAUUACUGGGCGUAAAGGGCGCGUAGGCGGCCAUGCGUGUCUUCCGUGAAAUCCCUCGGCUUAACCGAGGACGUGCGGAAGAAACUGCAAGGCUCGAGUCCGGAAGAGGGGGGCGGAAUUCCCAGUGUAGCGGUGAAAUGCGUAGAUAUUGGGAGGAACACCAGUGGCGAAGGCGGUCCCCUGGGCCGGAACUGACGCUGAGGCGCGAAAGCGUGGGGAGCGAACAGG